RNAcentral lists this ribosomal RNA (325 nucleotides) under uncultured eukaryote. RNAcentral describes it as "partial 18S ribosomal RNA". It matches the Rfam family "Eukaryotic small subunit ribosomal RNA", at positions 1470 to 1796 of the family's 1831-position model. The record is from RNAcentral.
CCCUUAGAUGUUCUGGGCCGCACGCGCGCUACACUGAUGCAUUCAACGAGCCUAUCCUUGACCGACAGGUCCGGGUAAUCUUUGAAUCUGCAUCGUGACGGGGAUAGAUUAUUGCAAUUAUUAAUCUUCAACGAGGAAUGCCUAGUAGGUGCAAGUCAUCAGCUUGCGUCGAUUACGUCCCUGCCCUUUGUACACACCGCCCGUCGCUCCUACCGAUUGGGUGUGCUGGUGAAAUGUUCGGAUCGGCCAUUUGUCGCGGUUUCCGCGUCAUGUGGCUGAGAAGUUCAUUAAACCCUCCCACCUAGAGGAAGGAGAAGUCGUAACA